CCAAUAGCGUAUAUUAAAGUUGUUGCAGUUAAAAAGCUCGUAGUUGAAUUUCGGGAUCAAUUUGCUGGUCGUGCCUUCGGUACGCACUGGUAUUAUUGGUUUCUCCUUUCUGAUGAAUCGCGAUGUCAUUAAUUUGGUGUCGUGGGGAAUCAGGACUGUUACUUUGAAAAAAUUAGAGUGUCUAAAGCAGGCUCACGCUUGAAUACAUUAGCAUGGAAUAAUGAAAUAGGACGUUUGAUUCUAUUUUGUUGGUUUCUAGGAUCGACGUAAUGAUUAAUAGGGAUAGUUGGGGGCAUUAGUAUUCAAUUGUCAGAGGUGAAAUUCUUGGAUUUAUUGAAGACUAACUACUGCGAAAGCAUUUGCCAAGGAUGUUUUCAUUAAUCAAGAACGAAAGUUAGGGGAUCGAAGACGAUCAGAUACCGUCGUAGUCUUAACCAUAAACUAUGCCGACUAGGGAUCGGAUGAUGUUAAUUUUUUAAUGACUCAUUCGGCGCCUUACG
This 500-nucleotide ribosomal RNA is filed under the name uncultured Glomeromycotina. RNAcentral describes it as "partial small subunit ribosomal RNA". It matches the Rfam family "Eukaryotic small subunit ribosomal RNA", at positions 591 to 1092 of the family's 1831-position model. Lineage: Eukaryota; Fungi; Glomeromycota. The record is from RNAcentral.